Molecule: ribosomal RNA, 410 nt
Filed under: uncultured fungus
Lineage: Eukaryota; Fungi
Description: LSU rRNA
Rfam family: Bacterial large subunit ribosomal RNA
Source: RNAcentral
UCUCGGCAAAUUAUCCUCAUAAGUUUGACAAUAAGAGAAACCAUAUAAAAAUUUAAAUUAACCAUAAUUUUUAUUCUUUAUAUGGUAUAAUAAAAUCGGAGGCCACGACUGUUUACUAAAAACACAAUUCAGAGCAAUGAUUAAGAUAAUAGUAUUCUGAAUGAAAUUUGCUCAAUGCCAUUAAUAUAAAAGAGGUAAUUUUAAAGUUACUAAUUGAAAGUCUGGUUAAUAGCGGUCUUAACUAUGAGGAUCCUAAGGUAGCAAAAUAAAUUGGCCAUUAAAUGUGGUCUAGUAUCAAUAAUGUAACGAUGGUCUCACUGUCUCUACAACUUGCUCAGUGAAAUUGAAUUGCGAGUGCAGAUGCUCGCUAUCUUCAGAGGGACGGGAAGACCCUAUGCAGCUUCUACUGA